Molecule: ribosomal RNA, 496 nt
Filed under: uncultured bacterium
Lineage: Bacteria
Description: partial 16S ribosomal RNA
Rfam family: Bacterial small subunit ribosomal RNA
Source: RNAcentral
ACUCAAAGGAAUUGACGGGGGCCCGCACAAGCGGCGGAGCAUGUGGCUUAAUUCGAGGCAACGCGAAGAACCUUACCUGGGCUUGACAUUUAGGGAAAAGCCGUAGAGAUACGGUGUCCUUCGGGGUCCUAAACAGGUGGUGCAUGGCUGUCGUCAGCUCGUGUCGUGAGAUGUUGGGUUAAGUCCCGCAACGAGCGCAACCCUUGUCCGAUGUUACCAGCGGGUUAUGCCGGGGACUCGUCGGAGACUGCCGGGGUCAACUCGGAGGAAGGUGGGGAUGACGUCAAGUCAUCAUGCCCCUUACGUCCAGGGCUGCACACAUGCUACAAUGGCCGGUACAACGGGCUGCUAUCCCGCGAGGGGGAGCCAAUCCCAAAAGCCGGUCUCAGUUCGGAUUGCAGUCUGCAACUCGACUGCAUGAAGUCGGAGUCGCUAGUAAUCCCGGAUCAGCAACGCCGGGGUGAAUACGUUCCCGGGCCUUGCACACACCGCCCGU